This 362-nucleotide ribosomal RNA is filed under the name uncultured Desulfocapsa sp. RNAcentral describes it as "bacterial SSU rRNA". It matches the Rfam family "Bacterial small subunit ribosomal RNA", at positions 1025 to 1382 of the family's 1533-position model. The record is from RNAcentral. Lineage: Bacteria; Pseudomonadati; Thermodesulfobacteriota; Desulfobulbia; Desulfobulbales; Desulfocapsaceae.
AGCCUGGAGACAGGUGCUGCAUGGCUGUCGUCAGCUCGUGUCGUGAGUAGUGUUCGGGUUAAGUCCCGCAACGAGCCGCAACCCCUUAUCUUUAGUUGCCAUCAUUGAGUUGGGCACUCUAAAGAGACUGGACCGGUGGUCAAACCGGAGGAAGUGGGAUGACGUCAAGUCCUCAUGGCCUUUAUGACCAGGGCUACACACGUACUACAAUGGCCGGUACAAAGGGCAGCGACACAGCGAUGUGAAGCGAAUCCCGAAAAGCCGGUCUCAGUCCGGAUUGGAGUCUGCAACUCGACUCCAUGAAGUUGGAAUCGCUAGUAAUCGCGGAUCAGCACGCCGCGGUGAAUACGUUCCCGGGCCUU